This 309-nucleotide long non-coding RNA is filed under the name Callithrix jacchus (white-tufted-ear marmoset). Its description in RNAcentral is "lncRNA (ENSCJAG00000052535.2)". The record is from RNAcentral. Lineage: Eukaryota; Metazoa; Chordata; Mammalia; Primates; Cebidae.
AUGAAGAAACUUGGACUUCUCCCUGCUUCACAGAUGGGUUAUGAGGCACUCCAAAGAAAGCGGCAUUCUAAGAAGUAUUAUGACCAUCUCCUUGGAAACCACGUGGCAUCACUUUACCACAUUCUUUUGGUCACAAGGAGAAGGAAUUAUAUACCAGCUGUUUUUGGAGGCAUGUGUCAGGCUGGAAUGCACUGGCACAAUCAUGGCUCACUGCUGCCAUGGACUCAUUCCUGGGCUCAAGUCAUCCUCCCACCUCAGCCUUCUGAGCAGCAAGGACUACAGAAUGCCUUGCUUUACCGCCUCUUGUAA